UAGUCCACGCUGUAAACGAUGAUCACUAGAUGUCCGGCGCUUCGGCGCUGGGUGUCCAAGCGAAAGCGAUAAGUGAUCCACCUGGGGAGUACGUUCGCAAGAAUGAAACUCAAAGGAAUUGACGGGGGCCCGCACAAGCGGUGGAGCAUGUGGUUUAAUUAGAUGAUACGCGAGGAACCUUACCUAGGCUCUAAUGCGAGCGCUAUCUGGUGAAAGCCGGAGUUCCUUCGGGACGCGAAGCAAGGUGCUGCAUGGUUGUCGUCAGCUCGUGCCGUGAGGUGUUGGGUUAAGUCCCGCAACGAGCGCAACCCCUAUCUUUAGUUGCCAGCAAGUAAUGUUGGGGACUCUAAAGAGACUGCCGGCGUAAGCCGCGAGGAAGGUGGGGAUGACGUCAAAUCAUCAUGGCCUUUAUGCCUAGGGCUACACACGUGCUACAAUGGCCAGUACUGAGGGUCGCAAACUCGCGAGAGUAAGCCAAUCCCAGAAAGCUGGUCCCAGUUC
RNAcentral lists this ribosomal RNA (501 nucleotides) under uncultured bacterium. RNAcentral describes it as "bacterial SSU rRNA". It matches the Rfam family "Bacterial small subunit ribosomal RNA", at positions 791 to 1294 of the family's 1533-position model. The record is from RNAcentral.